UGGCCUGAAAAGUUUUGCAUGGAAUAAUGGAAUAGGACUUCGGUUCUAUUUCGUUGGUUUUCGGAACUGAAGUAAUGAUCAAAAGAGACAGGCGGGGACGUUUGUACGGCUGCGCUAGAGGUGAAAUUCAUGGACCGUAGCCAGACAAACUAAAGCGAAAGCAUUCGUCAAGCAUGUUUUCAUUGGCCAUGAGCGAAAGUCAGAGGCUCGAAGACGAUCAGAUACCGUCCUAGUUCUGACCAUAAACGAUGCCAACUGACGAUCCGUGGUGGUAGUUUUUCAACCUUCCCCACGGGCAGUCCCCGGGAAACCUUUAAGUCUUUGGGUUCCGGGGGAAGUAUGGUUGCAAAGCUGAAACUUAAAGGAAUUGACGGAAGGGCACCACCAGGAGUGGAGCCUNNGGCUUAAUUUGACUCAACACGGGAAAACUCACCCGGGCCGGACACUAUGAGGAUUGACAGAUUGAUAGC
This 470-nucleotide ribosomal RNA is filed under the name Anoplocephaloides dentata. RNAcentral describes it as "SSU rRNA". It matches the Rfam family "Eukaryotic small subunit ribosomal RNA", at positions 791 to 1255 of the family's 1831-position model. The record is from RNAcentral. Lineage: Eukaryota; Metazoa; Platyhelminthes; Cestoda; Cyclophyllidea; Anoplocephalidae.